This 396-nucleotide ribosomal RNA is filed under the name Triticum aestivum (bread wheat). Its description in RNAcentral is "partial small subunit ribosomal RNA". The record is from RNAcentral. Lineage: Eukaryota; Viridiplantae; Streptophyta; Magnoliopsida; Poales; Poaceae.
GGACAGCAGCACGCGGCAGGAGCUCGCCACCGAAGUCCCCCGAGCACCGUCCGCCCGGAAUCUGGCCGGGAACCGGACGAGGCCGAGCCAUCGCGCCCAGAUCCGCGCGUGGCUCAGCGCCACAACCACCACCACCGGAGAUCCAACAGAGACCAGCAGCCCCACGACCUCUACCUCCCAACCCCCGCCUACCUGCCGCCCCAGCCAGUGCGUCGUCCUGUGCACUCCGCCGCCGGCAGCAAGAGCUUGGACGCCGCUACCACGCAGACUCCUCCCGGCGGGGCACAACCGCCACAGGAAUCUGGAAUGGCGUAUCACAUAGAGAAGUUCGACCCGGACAACCGCUUCAGUUCGAUGUCACUGCAUAGUGCAGCUUUUUUAUGCUCUUUUCUUGCU